This 1023-nucleotide long non-coding RNA is filed under the name Oncorhynchus mykiss (rainbow trout). RNAcentral describes it as "lncRNA (ENSOMYG00000052142.1)". Lineage: Eukaryota; Metazoa; Chordata; Actinopteri; Salmoniformes; Salmonidae. The record is from RNAcentral.
UCUAUGGAGCAGGAGGUCACUGCUUAAACCACUGGGACCACACAGUCUAUGGAGCAGGAGGUCACUGCUUAAACCACUGGGACCACACAGUCUAUGGAGCAGGAGGUCACUGCUUAAACCACUGGGACCACCCAGUCUAUGGAGCAGGAGGUCACUGCUUAAACCACUGGGACCACACAGUCUAUGGAGCAGGAGGUCACUGCUUAAACCACUGGGACCACACAGUCUAUGGAGCAGGAGGUCACUGCUUAAACCACUGGGACCACACAGUCUAUGGAGCAGGAGGUCACUGCUUAAACCACUGGGACCACACAGUCUAUGGAGCAGGAGGUCACUGCUUAAACCACUGGGACCACACAGUCUAUGGAGCAGGAGGUCACUGCUUAAACCACUGGGACCACACAGUCUAUGGAGCAGGAGGUCACUGCUUAAACCACUGGGACCACCCAGUCUAUGGAGCAGGAUGUCACUGCUUAAACCACUGGGACCACCCAGUCUAUGGAGCAGGAGGUCACUGCUUAAACCACUGGGACCACCCAGUCUAUGGAGCAGGAUGUCACUGCUUAAACCACUGGGACCACCCAGUCUAUGGAGCAGGAUGUCACUGCUUAAACCACUGGGACCACACAGUCUAUGGAGCAGGAGGUCACUGCUUAAACCACUGGGACCACCCAGUCUAUGGAGCAGGAGGUCACUGCUUAAACCACUGCGUCAUCCAUCAACAAUGAACAGCAAAGGCCUUAAUUAAUGCCUCAGAUUAACAGCAAAUGUGUUAUUCUGUUUUAACCCAAAUCUGAUUCCUGAACCAAUCAAAACUAACACCUGAAGUGUAUUAACCCAAAUCUGAUUCCUUAAAAGAGUAGUUGACUAUUUUAAAACAUGAUGUUAGAUGGUUCCUCAUCCUGAAAGUAGUCUAAGGGCCAGGAUAAAAAGCUAUCUAUCAUUCAGUUUUCUUUAAACAGCCUUCUGCUAACUAAGAUAACCAAUAAACUAAUCAACACCAGGAAGGUAAGAUGGUUGAAU